AGGACGAACGCUGGCGGCGUGCUUAACACAUGCAAGUCGAGCGGAAAGGCCCUUCGGGGUACUCGAGCGGCGAACGGGUGAGUAACACGUGAGUAACCUGCCCCUAGCUCUGGGAUAGCUCCGGGAAACCGGGAUUAAUACCAGAUACGACCACUUUAGACAUCUGUCGUGGUGGGAAGGAUUCCGGCUAGGGAUGGGCUCGCGGCCUAUCAGCUUGUUGGUGGGGUAACGGCCUACCAAGGCGACGACGGGUA
RNAcentral lists this ribosomal RNA (254 nucleotides) under uncultured bacterium. Its description in RNAcentral is "partial small subunit ribosomal RNA". It matches the Rfam family "Bacterial small subunit ribosomal RNA", at positions 26 to 285 of the family's 1533-position model. The record is from RNAcentral.